ACCAAAACAUUCUCAAUUUUGGACCUAUGGGCUGUGCCUAUCUGCAUUACGGCUCUGCAUGGAAAAGUAUUGCCAGAGGAAAUUGAAAAAUCUGAUUGUGAGACUACACAAAGGUGGAAAACGAUACAGGAAGAUCUGUGAUCAACUAAAAAUCAGUCAAAACACAGUUGCAGCAGCAAUCAGAAGGUAUAAAACGAGUUAAAGCGUCACUAAUCAGAGCUGCAGUGGCCGUCCUCCUAAUGACCACGGACCGUGUGCCGGAACAAUCUACGGGGCAAGUGCUUCAAACUUGGCACAGGGGUCAUCAAUGGAAAUUUGAGUUUCUGGGACAGCUCAGACAGGAAGCAAAGGACAUUGCAUAAAGUCAGCCUCUAUAGACGGCAUCCGAGAAAAAAAAUCCUUGCUUGCUCUUCACGUACUAACUGACACUCAGAUAUGUCAAUCAUGGAGCUGAUUUUUUUUUUUCCCCGAAUGAUAACGAGCAACUUCGGGUAGAAGAAAUAUCUGUUUCCAUCGCACAUCACAUUAUUUGUGCUUUCCCGAAUAAUGUAUUCGGAUGCACGUACAUCCCUUCUGCAUUUCUACAAUAUCUUCAAAACUAGGACUAGAGCUCACAAGACCCCCCCUCCCCCCCCAUCCAUCCAUUUUCCUUCUGAAUUUAUUUCUCAGUGUUUGGACCGACCACUGCUGAGAAGUUCUCUCGUUCCAAUCCUGCCCCAGUUGCUCAUCAGCGAGAGCGGUGAAUCUCAACACAUUCCUCUGUUUAAUAUUCUUAUCUCUCUCCCCCCGCUGCAGCAUGCCUGGUGCCCGUGGCGAAGCCCCUCCGUCUAUCUCCAUGCUGAGCAGGUCCCUCACUGACAGAGCUGUAUCUGUACAGAUAGGAGAUCUGUGAAACGUGCCGACUCAUGAAAUCCCCUGGCCUUUGAUAACUGGUUAUCAGCCAGUCAAAUGUGUCCAUUCCAUUUCCCUCAUUGUCCUGUCUAGGUGUGUAGGGGCAACAUGGCUCUCAGUCCUCCUAUUGGCUAGUCCUGGUUCAAACAGAGCAUCUGCCUGUAGUCAGCGCUGGACAACUUUCUCUGCUUGUAGCACUUAUAUCAGUGCCAUAAUGGUCAUCAAUAGUUAAGCACAUUAGCACUGAUACAAACCAGCCGUUCCAAAAUCAGUAGGAAAAAGUCAGGCUCGAGUGUGAUUUAGUUUAGUCUGUAAUAUCUAACCUCUGCAGAUGGUCUCCAGCCAAGGACGAUUUGAUGGGCCCUCGAGUUUAAAUGCACAAAGCUUCUUUUCGCUGCCUCCAGCCGGAUUGAUAGCUUCUCUUCCUCUGUUACUUACAUCAGAGAAGUCAUUCUUCAGCAUUUCAAGCAGCUUUACUGAUCCCUCAAGGAGCAUGUCUAAGGACAUUUACCCACUGGAUAGAUGAAUAGAGUGGUGAACACAGGACAGCAGCUGCCUUCUCUGCACUCCAGGUUUGGCCUCAACAUCAAGGCUGAGCUCACACACAUCUGGUAUAUCUCUUCAAGAUAAAGGCUAUGACAGAUCCAGACUGAAAAUACACCUCUGCUUUUUUUCGCUCUGAUUGAAUCCUCUUGUCCUGGAAACGUGGGAGCCUUCACACAUGAAAGGUGCUGAGCAUCAGAGAGCCAUUGGGCUGCGCUGGAAGGAUUGCUUCAAUCAACCUCCAACCGUAUAAUUACUCAUUUGAUUGGGAUUAAAGUCAACUUGGAAAGCAAGAGUGUGGCCAAUUUCGAAUCAGCAUAUGAAAUGUGAUUAAAUUAAUGGAGAAAAAUUGAAAUAUUAAUGUCUGGAUUGGGAAAGUGGGUCCCAGGUCACAGGCGUGAGUCGGGAGUCGUUUGAACUCCUCCUAAUUAUGGACACACUGGGAAUCAUGGGAAAGUGGAAUAUUAGCUUUCACGCUGCUGACUGUCUUUUUCUCACAAAGCGGCUCUAGCAGAGAGCUCUGCGUAAGCGUAUCUUAGAUCUCUGGCACCGCAUCAACGGUGCCGUUCCACAGUGCAGCGCUCUGACUGUGGGGAGACUAAGCAAAUCACAGACAAUCUAAAAUAAACCAACCUCGACAAGUCCAAAAAAGGCAGCCUUGCAGCUCUCCAGCCGGCCAGCUAGACUGUUUCUCUGUUGGCUGACGCUCUCUGACAGGACUGGAAGAAACGUGCUAUUAAACUUGAAAUGACACACACAAGAGUGACAUUGAAA
Molecule: long non-coding RNA, 2208 nt
Organism: Clupea harengus (Atlantic herring)
Lineage: Eukaryota; Metazoa; Chordata; Actinopteri; Clupeiformes; Clupeidae
Exons: 3
Source: RefSeq, a predicted model, not a curated record